This 196-nucleotide ribosomal RNA is filed under the name Escherichia coli. Its description in RNAcentral is "partial 23S ribosomal RNA". It matches the Rfam family "Bacterial large subunit ribosomal RNA", at positions 1 to 188 of the family's 2925-position model. The record is from RNAcentral. Lineage: Bacteria; Pseudomonadati; Pseudomonadota; Gammaproteobacteria; Enterobacterales; Enterobacteriaceae.
GGGUUGUGAGGUUAAGCGACUAAGCGUACACGGUGGAUGCCCUGGCAGUCAGAGGCGAUGAAGGACGUGCUAAUCUGCGAUAAGCGUCGGUAAGGUGAUAUGAACCGUUAUAACCGGCGAUUUCCGAAUGGGGAAACCCAGUGUGAUUCGUCACACUAUCAUUAACUGAAUCCAUAGGUUAAUGAGGCGAACCGGG